UGGGCUGUGUGGUGAAACCGGCCUCGCCACGUGUCCUUGGAGGGGGCUGCUUGCCCGCCUCUUGCCUUUGGACUAUGGACCAGACUUUAUGUGAAGUUAUUAACCCAGAUAGCUAUGCCAUGGAGCCCAUUUGUGUAGUUAAAGACUUCGGCUCCAUGGCAAUUGAACUGUGUGAAUAGGAUCUGAGCGCUAUUCGGUAGUUUUGUGCGCUCAGAUCCCAGCUAUCUGGGAUAUGUGAAAUGUCUGUGUCUUAUGUGUAAAAGGUGACUUUAUGUAUUUUAAAGUGUUUUGUGUCUUUUUGCAACCAUGUGCUUAAUGGAGUCUUGUGUCUGUCCUGGGAGAUAAUUGAAUUACUUAUCUCCAGGAUAGAAGACUCUGAAACUGGUUUGGGCCAGAAAGCCAUGCUUCAUUUAGUCACAAAGGACUUUCCCUUAACUUUUGAACCCCUGGUCUGAUUCGUGCCAUUUUUAAAU
Molecule: non-coding RNA, 473 nt
Organism: Pelobates cultripes (western spadefoot toad)
Lineage: Eukaryota; Metazoa; Chordata; Amphibia; Anura; Pelobatidae
Source: the annotation of a GenBank genome assembly